Molecule: unclassified non-coding RNA, 651 nt
Filed under: Hevea brasiliensis (rubber tree)
Lineage: Eukaryota; Viridiplantae; Streptophyta; Magnoliopsida; Malpighiales; Euphorbiaceae
Source: RNAcentral
CGGCACUGAGAGGCCUAGCUACUUAAAAUAAGCAUUAUUCCAGCAACCUGUCAUAAGUCAACCAAUAUGCACAUGAAGGAAAUUGGUCGCCUCCCGAAUUAUUCCUUCCCAUGAAGCAUUCAUCUUUUCGUCUUUUGUAAAAUUUGUUUGGAUGCUUAUUAGCUUUUAUUAUUAGAGGUAAGUUUGCGUACAACUCUUUAAAUUUACAUAUGUGUAAGAUGUUUUGUGAGUAAUUUUUUUUGUUUUAAUGAAAUUCAAAGUUUGAAACUUUAGGUGGGUUUGAUGAAUAACUUUUGUUUGUGGUAGAAGAGAAGGAAAAGGAUAAAGGAAAUGUACAUGGUCGGCAUGUGAGACUCGUCUUUUAAAGCUGAGGGGUUAAUUGAGUAGGGGAGAGGGCUCCAUCAUUAGUUGUUUAUUGACUCCUUUUUGACUUGCAAUACAUAUUAGAUUGUGAUGUGCAUGGUAAAGAUUAGUGGAAGAAACAACAUUUUUAUUUAUAAUCUUGGAUUAGAUAUGAAGCUUUUCUUUCUCCUUAAAAGGAGUGACUUGACUAAGCCCAGCACUACAAUUGAAUUGCUUUGUUUCAUCAUAGAAUUGGCAAAAAGUUGGUUCUUCUUCUUCCUUUUCCUUAUGCUUCUUCAAACAUUAAAG